UUAUUCAGAGAUUUGAGAGGAACUAAAGGCAACUUCAAGGAGCUCAGAAUCGGCGAAGUAAUCAAGACGGCGAAUCAAGUUCUUCGAGAAGAUCGGCGAAAUUAGGUUUUUGAUAAUUCUUUGUGUAAACCAAAUUCCAAUGUCUUCCUCUUCUGAUUUUGAUUUUUCUGUCGAGACUAUGAACGGCUAAACUUCUCUUGCUUGGAUUAGAUGAACCCUAGGAUAAUUCAUAUGAACGAAUGAUUUGAUAUGUUG
This 255-nucleotide long non-coding RNA is filed under the name Linum usitatissimum (flax). RNAcentral describes it as "long non-coding RNA (LUSI_LNC006182)". The record is from RNAcentral. Lineage: Eukaryota; Viridiplantae; Streptophyta; Magnoliopsida; Malpighiales; Linaceae.